UACGGGGGGGGCAAGCGUUGUUCGGAAUUACUGGGCGUAAAGGGCUCGUAGGUGGCCAACUAAGUCAGACGUGAAAUCCCUCAGCUUAACUGGGGAACUGCGUCUGAUACUGGAUGGCUUGAGUUUGGGAGAGGGAUGCGGAAUUCCAGGUGUAGCGGUGAAAUGCGUAGAUAUCAAGAGGAACACCUGCGGCGAAGGCGGGUUGCUGGGCCGACACUGACGCUGAUGCGCGAAAGCUAGGGGAGCGAACAGG
Molecule: ribosomal RNA, 253 nt
Filed under: uncultured bacterium
Lineage: Bacteria
Description: partial 16S ribosomal RNA
Rfam family: Bacterial small subunit ribosomal RNA
Source: RNAcentral